This 577-nucleotide ribosomal RNA is filed under the name Preussia minima. RNAcentral's name for it is "eukaryotic LSU rRNA". The stretch from base 188 to 341 matches the Rfam family "5.8S ribosomal RNA". Lineage: Eukaryota; Fungi; Ascomycota; Dothideomycetes; Pleosporales; Sporormiaceae. The record is from RNAcentral.
GUCGUAACAAGGUUUCCGUAGGUGAACCUGCGGAAGGAUCAUUAUCGUUGGGCUUCGGCCCAUUCGAGAUAACACCCUUGCCUUUUUGAGUACCUUUUCGUUUCCUCGGCAGGCUCGCCUGCCAACGGGGACCCUUCAAAACGCUUUGUAAUACCUGUAAUCGUCUGAUAUAACAAGCAAAAAUCAAAACUUUCAACAACGGAUCUCUUGGUUCUGGCAUCGAUGAAGAACGCAGCGAAAUGCGAUAAGUAGUGUGAAUUGCAGAAUUCAGUGAAUCAUCGAAUCUUUGAACGCACAUUGCGCCCUUUGGUAUUCCUUAGGGCAUGCCUGUUCGAGCGUCAUUUAAACCUUCAAGCUCAGCUUGGUGAUGGGUGACUGUCCUCCCCUCGCGGGGGGACUCGCCUCAAAAACAUUGGCGGCCGGUACAUUGGCUUCGAGCGCAGCAGAAACGCGGUCUCGAGCCCGGUGGAUCGGCUCCCAUAAGCCUAUUCUUUUAUUUUGACCUCGGAUCAGGUAGGGAUACCCGCUGAACUUAAGCAUAUCAAUAAGCGGAGGAAAAGAAACCAACAGGGAUUGC